This 179-nucleotide non-coding RNA is filed under the name Bacillus sp. (in: firmicutes). RNAcentral's name for it is "Bacillus sp. Lysine sequence". It matches the Rfam family "Lysine riboswitch aptamer". Rfam says of the family: Riboswitches are metabolite binding domains within certain messenger RNAs that serve as precision sensors for their corresponding targets. Allosteric rearrangement of mRNA structure is mediated by ligand binding, and this results in modulation of gene expression. Lineage: Bacteria; Bacillati; Bacillota; Bacilli; Caryophanales; Bacillaceae. The record is from RNAcentral. RNAcentral also lists the same sequence under 1 other name.
AGUGAGGAUAGAGGCGCAAAGACCAUUAGUACAUAGUUUGAGGAUGAUGAGAUCCUGUGAAAGUUGUGGAAAGGGGAAUUUGCCGAAGCGGAUAGAGUCUCAUUCAUCUUGACGCUGGUUCUGUAUUGAAGAAAUCCAGAACUGUCAUAUAGGUAACUAUAUGGAGGGCUAUCUCACGC